Molecule: ribosomal RNA, 246 nt
Filed under: uncultured bacterium
Lineage: Bacteria
Description: partial small subunit ribosomal RNA
Rfam family: Bacterial small subunit ribosomal RNA
Source: RNAcentral
AGAAUCAACGCUGGCGGCGUGCCUAACACACGCAAGUCGCACGAGAAAGGGUAGCAAUACCUGAGUAAAGUGGCGCACGGGUGAGUAACACGUGAAUUAUCUACCUCCGAGUGGGGAAUAACUGAGAGAAAUCUUAGCUAAUACCGCAUAACACUUACGAGUCAAAGCAGCAAUGCGCUUGGAGAGGAGGUUCGCGGCAGAUUUAGUUAGUUGGCGGGUAAUGGCCCACCAAGACGAUGAUCUGUA